AUGUUCCCAGACCUGCUGCUUAAAUUGUUUGGGGAAAUUGUACAGCAACUGUGGGGCUGGUUUAGGGGGAAAAGGGAGGUUUGGGGGCAGCAGGGCCAGGCUCACAGCUUGUUCCCCCUCACAGUCCUGUUUGCCAUGAAGGAGGGGAAUGAGAAGGUGCCCACUCUGCUCACGGAUUACAUCCUCAAAGGUACCUGCACCCUCCUGCCCCUCCAUUACAUCCUUUGUGCAUCCUUUCCCUCCUGCAACCUCAUUUGUCCCUUUUGCAUCUCCUGUGCAUCCUCUGUGCAUCCUUGGAGAAUCCCAGAUACAUCCUGUGUCACUCCUUCCACUUCCCUCAUGCAUCCCUGGUGCAUCCUCCACACAUCCUUCAGGAAUCCCAGGUGCACCUCCUGCAUCCCUCAGGCAUUCUUUGUACAGCUCUGCUGUUCUGCCACACCUCUGGGGGCCCUGUGCAGCUUCCUGCCCCAUCCUGGGGCCCAUGUGCUUCAUCCACACAGCCUCAGCACCCUCUGCACGCCCCCUCUCACCCCCACACCCCCUCAGGCACCCUCCUCUGCCUCCCUUGGGUAUCCCCAUCCAUCUUCCUUGCAUCUCCCAGGCACCCUUGUGCACCCCUGCACAUCUCCCACACCCCUCUUGUGCAUCCUCCUGAGUCCUCGUGUGUCCAUCAUGCUCUUUCUGUGCACUGCUGUGUGUGUGCAUCCCUUGUGCAUCCUCAUGCAUCCUGGUACAUCCCUGUGCAUGCUCAUGGAUCACAGUGCAUCCUCCUGCAUCCUGGUGCAUCCAUGUGCAUUGCAGUGCAUCCCUGUGCAGUCUCCUGCAUUCCAGUGCAUCCUCAUGCAUCCCUGUGCAUCCCCCUGCAUCCCUGUGCAUUCCAGUGCAUCCCCUUGCACACUUGUGCAUCCUCCUGCAUCCUGGUACAUCCCUGUGCAUCCUCCUGCAUUCCUUGUGCAUCCUGAUGCAUCCAUGUGCAUUGCAGUGCAUCCCUGUGCAGUGUCAUGCAUUCCAGUGCAUCCUCAUGGAUCACAGUGCAUCCCCCUGCAUCCCUGUGCAUCCCCCUGCAUCCCCUUGCACACUUGUGCAUCCUCCUGCAUCCUGGUACAUCCCUGUGCAUCCUCAUGCAUUCCUUGUGCAUCCUCCUGCAUUCCUUGUGCAUCCUGA
RNAcentral lists this long non-coding RNA (1164 nucleotides) under Parus major (Great Tit). Its description in RNAcentral is "lncRNA (ENSPMJG00000008791.1)". Lineage: Eukaryota; Metazoa; Chordata; Aves; Passeriformes; Paridae. The record is from RNAcentral.